UAAAAAAUUAGAGCAAAUCUAAGAGGGAA
This 29-nucleotide non-coding RNA is filed under the name Mus musculus (house mouse). The record is from RNAcentral. Lineage: Eukaryota; Metazoa; Chordata; Mammalia; Rodentia; Muridae.